RNAcentral lists this ribosomal RNA (214 nucleotides) under Phyllopsora africana. RNAcentral's name for it is "partial small subunit ribosomal RNA". It matches the Rfam family "Bacterial small subunit ribosomal RNA", at positions 947 to 1210 of the family's 1533-position model. The record is from RNAcentral. Lineage: Eukaryota; Fungi; Ascomycota; Lecanoromycetes; Lecanorales; Ramalinaceae.
UAAUUUGAUAAUCCGCAAAAAACCUUACCACAACUUGAAUAUUUAUAUAUAUAUUUACAAGCGUUGCACGGCUGUCUUCAGUUAAUGUCGUGAGACUUUGGUUAGAUCCAUUAAAUUAACGUAAGCCCUUACUUUAUUUACAAAUAAAGUAGUUCCCCACUAUAUUGGAUAUGAUAACAGGGACUAAGACAAGUCAUCAUGGCCUAAAUAUUGU